RNAcentral lists this ribosomal RNA (300 nucleotides) under Triticum aestivum (bread wheat). RNAcentral describes it as "partial small subunit ribosomal RNA". Lineage: Eukaryota; Viridiplantae; Streptophyta; Magnoliopsida; Poales; Poaceae. The record is from RNAcentral.
AUGUUGGUGUAUAUCGCUCCAUCUACUACACCUCGCACCCGCCUCCCCUUGGCGCCUGGUGCUUGUUUGGAUGCGACAUCGUCUUCUCAACCAGCUUCUGCAGAAGAUAUUGUUCAUGCUACACCGCCUCAUCUAGCGGCUUCCACGGGUGGUGGUGGCUGCUCCUCUGUCGGUGCUGCUACGUUGACUAUUUCAACCGUGUCCUUCACUGAGCAUGAGAUUGUGCGACUUUGCGGCCUGCUGAUUGCCUCCGGCUCUCCAUUGCAGGGUGCAUCUACUUCGACCUCUUCAGGUGAGUAG